Molecule: long non-coding RNA, 131 nt
Organism: Etheostoma spectabile (orangethroat darter)
Lineage: Eukaryota; Metazoa; Chordata; Actinopteri; Perciformes; Percidae
Exons: 3
Source: RefSeq, a predicted model, not a curated record
AUAUAUAUAUAUAUAUAUAUAUACUGUAUCUGAUAACAGCAAAGACAACGUCGGCGGUAUUGACGGCAAAAUAGGCUACAGAAUAUUUUGUUCUGUAUUGACAGGUGCCCUAUUUGAAAAUUGAUAAUUAU